AUUGAACGCUGGCGGCAUGCCUUACACAUGCAAGUCGAACGGCAGCACGGGUGCUUGCACCUGGUGGCGAGUGGCGAACGGGUGAGUAAUACAUCGGAACAUGUCCUGUAGUGGGGGAUAGCCCGGCGAAAGCCGGAUUAAUACCGCAUACGAUCUACGGAUGAAAGCGGGGGACCUUCGGGCCUCGCGCUAUAGGGUUGGCCGAUGGCUGAUUAGCUAGUUGGUGGGGUAAAGGCCUACCAAGGCGACGAUCAGUAGCUGGUCUGAGAGGACGACCAGCCACACUGGAACUGAGACACGGUCCAGACUCCUACGGGAGGCAGCAGUGGGGAAUUUUGGACAAUGGGCGAAAGCCUGAUCCAGCAAUGCCGCGUGUGUGAAGAAGGCCUUCGGGUUGUAAAGCACUUUUGGCCGGAAAGAAAGGCUUGGCGCUAAUACAGUCGGGGGAUGACGGUACCGGAAGAAUAAGCACCGGCUAACUACGUG
RNAcentral lists this ribosomal RNA (486 nucleotides) under uncultured bacterium. RNAcentral describes it as "partial 16S ribosomal RNA". It matches the Rfam family "Bacterial small subunit ribosomal RNA", at positions 30 to 507 of the family's 1533-position model. The record is from RNAcentral.